Molecule: ribosomal RNA, 253 nt
Filed under: uncultured bacterium
Lineage: Bacteria
Description: partial 16S ribosomal RNA
Rfam family: Bacterial small subunit ribosomal RNA
Source: RNAcentral
GACGUAGGGCGCGAGCGUUGUCCGGAUUUAUUGGGCGUAAAGAGCUCGUAGGCGGCUCAUUGCGUCAACCGUGAAAACCAGCAGCUCAACUGUUGGCUUGCGGUUGAUACGGGUGGGCUGGAGUUCUGUAGGGGGGACUGGAAUUCCUGGUGUAGCGGUGAAAUGCGCAGAUAUCAGGAGGAACACCGAUGGCGAAGGCAGGUCUCUGGGCAUUAACUGACGCUGAGGAGCGAAAGCAUGGGGAGCGAACAGG